GGUUGUUCCUGUGAACAUGCCCUGCUUGAUGUAUUUGUCUUCUUGAAGUAACAGAAGAUGAGGACUCGCUUGAGCUGCACAUGGUGCUGCUGGAACUGGAGGAUAUGGAGAAACAGAUCCGUGGCCUACUCGACAAGCAGGCCCAGCUGCUGGAGUGAAGAACUGUGCUGGAAACAUCUUGUGCUUCUGCCUACACAUCCAAGGGACCGUGCACCCAAGACCCAAGCAGCGAAAGGUGAGAGCCAUACCCUGGGCGAGGACCUCUCCACCUCUGGUGUUAGAGAUCCUAACCAGGAACCACUUCACCCCUCUCCGUCAGACCAGACCAAACGCUGUGAUCAUUUGGGACUCCAUUGUGCGAAACGUCCGUGUCGCUUUAACAAAGGGUAAGGUGCACACACAUUGUUUUUCUGGUGCUAUUGUCCUUGAUGUCACUGCAAAG
Molecule: long non-coding RNA, 442 nt
Organism: Ictalurus punctatus (channel catfish)
Lineage: Eukaryota; Metazoa; Chordata; Actinopteri; Siluriformes; Ictaluridae
Source: Ensembl